UUCCGGCACGCUUGCCUUAGCUUCCUCUGGAACUGGCUUUCUCUCUUAUCAGUUAACCUGCAUUCUAACUCUUUUUGCUCUCUCGAUCCCGUUUGGACGCUAAUUUAAGACCAGCUCAAGCACACCAGUCCAAGAGAGUGAAGAAGGGUUCAACAGAGAUCGCAUCUAUACUUAUCGGCGAUGUAGCUUCAGUCGCAUAGCUUCAGAGAUAAAGCCUCUCCUCCGCUCGUCCUCCGCCACCGUCGCCCGUUCCAUCCGCUCCCCGCAUCGUCGGGCCCUCUCCUCAGCUGUCCGGGUGUUCGACGAAAUGCCGGAGAGGGAACCUGACUGAGCUGUGCUUCAUUUCUUUCUUUCCGGUCGCCGAUCCAUUCCCAGCUUCGCCGUUAUACUUCUCAGCAGUUCCAGCUUCGACCAUCUCCAUCCAGCGAAUCUCCAUCUUAGACUCUUCACGUUGGCCUCUCCGCUACGCUACUUUGUUGGUGUAGACGAGGCGUUCGACAAAAUGCCGGAGAGACGGUAAGAUUGAAGUUCUUCUCCCGUCCACAUUGCUACCGUUCCUUCAGGUAGCUGUUCAAGGUCCAGGUUUUCAAGCGCAUCAACCCAGCAUCUUCCCUCUGCCGCCGAUAACGAUCCAUCACGCAGGACAUAGAUCCGACAAUGAUGUACGAACAUGGCAUAGGAAAGCAAGCGUCCCAAAAUCGUCAGCAUUGGGAAACAAGCUUAUCGCUGUUCCUCCCCCCUGAGGCUUUAGUCGGGGGGAAAAUACAUUUCAAAAAUUGUCUAGUUCAAUAUUUCCUUGCUGCCAAGGCAUCAUUCCACUUAGUGAAAGGAAUCUAUGUCGGAGAGGCCUAUAUGAUUCACUUCACACAAACAGGAGUUGAGGAGACAAGUCUCCAUUGCUUCCAGUGAGAAGGCAAGAAACUCCAUUCCCUCCGCUUAUAUGCUUAUAGGCGGCCAGAACUUGGGUACUGGUGGGGGACUUGCACCACCUUACCCCAAACCAAAUCGCCCCAGGAAGUCGUGAACAAGGCUCACGAGCUCCAUGAGCACAAUAGUUUCAGUGACUACGACCUCAUCAAUAACAACUGUGAGCAUUUAGCCUCGUUUUGCCAGACCGGCAUACGGGCAAGUGCACAGACAGCACUGGUCAGUGCUUGUCUGCAGAAGAUCAGUGAAGUCAGAAUGGUUCACAAAGUUUCUGCAUACGAAGGGUUCCAAUUACAUAACAUGAAUUGGGUGGCCACAUACAGCAGAGAGUAUAAGUUGGAUUGGUGUUGACGUGGUCUGCACCGUUAACAAAUGCACUCUAGCAGAUUUAGUCUCGUUCUUGGCACCAAGCCCCAGUUAGAAAGGAUACGCCACCUGGCCCUUCUACGUUAGCGCCAGCCCACUCAAUGGACUAUAACAAGCCAUUGGACUUGCCCAACAUAGAAAGAGGAAAACGCCAGAAAGAACAAGCAUCUUGGAAAUUCUAACAAAACCAGUUUGUGGAUUGCGUGAUCAGCUUGAACAAAAGUUUCUCCAGAAACACCUUGCGGCAUUCCCCCAAAGACAUUGUUUUAUAGAAACAAAUGCCAGAAGAGGAUUCCACUUGUGAUGAUGGCCAGCUUCAACCCAACUUGCAGCUCUCUCACUUACUCUCACUCGCUCACUUAUGUCACCACCGGACCAGAUCAAACGUACCCUUCAAAAAGCACUUUCCUCUCUUCCCAUCACUCCAUAUCCCGCCUCCUCCUCCUCCUCCUCCUCCUCCUCCUCCUCCAUUGCCAUUAUAUAAUCGGCUCCCGGCAGGCACACUCACCUUAGCAGGAGCAGUGCAGGCGGGUGGACGCUAAUUAAAGACCAGCUCAAGCACACCAGUCCAAGAGAGAGAAAAUGUUGGCCUACAUCAUCAUCACUGUUUUCGCAAUAUUGUUGCGACCCACAGGGGAUGUGGUAGGACAGGAAGAUCUCAAACCCGGAGAUCACAUCUAUACUUAUCGGCGAUAUGGAUUGUACACCCAUCAUGUAGUUGCAUAACUUCAGAGAUAAAGCCUCUCCUCCAACGGUCCUCUGCUACCGUCGCACGUUCCAACCGCUCCCCAUUGCCGGCCCCUCUCCUCAGCUGUCCAGAUGUUCGACGAAAUCCAGAGAGAGAACCUAACUGAGCUGUGCUUCAUUUCUUUCUUUCCGGUCACCAGUCCAUUUCAAGCUUCGCCGUUAUACUUCUCAGCAUUUCCAGCUUCGACCAUCUCCAUCUCCAGCGAUUCUCCAUCUUAGACUCUUCAUGUCGGCCUCUCCGCUUCCCUACUUUGUUGGUGUCGACGAGUUGUUUCGACAGAAUGCCAGAAAGACGGUAAGAUUGAAGUUCUCCUCCAGUCCACAGCGCCACCAUUCCUUCUGGUAGCUGUUCAAGGUCCAGGUUUUCAAGCGCAUCAACCCAGCAUCCCUCCCUCCCCCCAGGGGGUGGGUUGCCAACAAUGAUCCAUCACGCGGGAAUAUAGAUCCGACAACAAUGUUAUGAAUGCAGCAUGGCAAAGCAAGUGUUCAAAGUCGUCGUCGUCGUCAGGAAACAAGCUUGUUGCUGUUCCUCCCCCUGAGGCUUUAGCCGAGGGUAAAACACAUUUUGAAAAUUGUCUUGUUGGAUAUUUCCUUGCUGCCAAUGCAUCAUUCUACUCAGUGAAAGGAAUCUACAUCGGUGAGGGCUACGUGAUUCACUUAACAAGGACAGGAGUUGAGGAGACUCAUCUCCAUCGCUUCCAGCAAGAAGGCGGGAACCUCUAUUCCCUCCGCUUAUAUGCAUAUGGGCGGCCGCAACUUGGGUAUUGGCUGACGAGAUGGGGGACUUGCACCACCUUACCGCAAACCAAAUUGCCCCUGGAAGUCGUGAACAAGGCUCGCGAGCUUCAUGAGCACGAUAGUUUCGGCAAGUACGACCUCAUCAAUAACAACUGUGAGCAUUUCGCCUCAUUUUGCCGGACCGGCAUACGGGCAAGUGCACAGACAGCAUUGGUCAGUGCUUGUCUGCAGAAGAUCAGUGAAGUCAAAGGAUGGUUCAUGAAGCUUCUGCAGGUGAAAGGAAUGAAACUUCAGUUUUGUAUAUCCACUUUUGAACUGGAAUGGGCAGCGAGAGACAUGCGCAUGUGCACGGAGGAAGAACUGAGAUAAGAAAAUGUAUGUAAGCCGCAAAGCUAUGUUCAUUGUUAUUUGAUGUGCCUGGAAAUAUGUGAGGAUUUCUGUCUGUUGGUGCUCGGUCCUCCUAGUUAGACUUGCCAUAAGAAGGUAACAUCUAAUCCUGAAUGCAUUUCUUACAUUCAAAUCAAUUCACUUUUGUGCAUGUUGGAUACAUUCUUUUGGCAUUCGAGAAAUAAUUGGAGAAACAAAACAACAGUGAAAUCGCACUAGACUAUCGAAAAGAGUUUGUUCCACAAGUGCACAAUCUUUUCCUUCUCAGUGACCUCACCAUUACCAUUUACUUUAAAGCGGCGAUCUCUCUCUCUCUCUCUCUCUCUCUCUCUCUCCCUCCCUCCCUCCCUCCCCAGCAAGGUUCCAAUUAUAUAACACGAAUUGGGUGGCCACGUACAGCAGAGAGUUUAAGUUAGAUUGGUGUACUGUUGACGUGGUCUGCACUGUUAACAAAGACACUCUAGCAGAUUUACAAAGACGCUCUAGCAGAUUUACUUCUAUCCUUCCUGAAAUAGUUGGACAAAAAGAAAAGUUUGAAUCGGUGCAACUUGGUGGCUUUAUAAUAAAAAUAAAGUUAAAUUAAAAGGGAGAAACUGCCUCAAUCAAUGAACAAUCUCCUCACUUCACACACACAAAUACCAUCUGUAGCAUAGCGUAAGUGCCAACGAGUUCUAUAACAUUACUGAGAAGUCAUUCUGUUCAUAGCUGAUAGCCAAAGCCUCCAAAUUAAGUUCCAUCAAGUUUAGAAUUACAACUUUGAGCGCACUCUAUCUAUAUGAAGCUAUCAAGAAAUUGUCUGAAGUUCUUUUCUGCGAAGGGCAUAAAGAAGGUGCUCUCUUUUAUACUGCACAUGCUCAUUAUUGAUUACAACAGGAAUCUACGUUGGAGAAGGCUGCGUGAUUCACUUCACACGAAUAAGAGUUGACAAGACAAGUCUCAAUCGCUUGUAGCAAGAAGGCAAGAACCUCUAUUUCCUCCGCUUAUAUGCAUAUGGGUGGGCCACAACUUGGGUGUUGGCUGACAAGAUGGGGGACUUGCACCACCCAGGAAGUCAUGAACAAGGCUGGCAAGCUUCAUGAGCACGAUAGUUUCGGCAAGUACAACCUCAUCAAUAACAACUAUGAGCAUUUCACCUCGUUUUGCUGGUCCGGCAUAUGGGCAAGCGCACAGACAGCAUUGGUAAGUGCUUGUCUGCAGAAGAUCAGUGAAGUCAAAGAAUGGUUUAUGAAGUUUCUGUAGAUGAAGUAAGUUUGAGUGACUCAAAAAUUCCACGAAUCUUCCCUUCCCAAUCUGUCUUUUUACUAGCAAUUAUAUUCAUCCGUUUGAGAGUCAUUGUCUGUUGUCCAGCAGUAAAAGGAAUGAAACUUUAGUUUUUUAUAUCCUGCUUUGGACCGGAAUGGGCAGUGAGAGACAUGGACACUUGCGUGGAGGAAGAACUGAGAUAACCUGGCAGAAUGGUUAUUCCUAAGGACAAGGCGCAUCGUAAGAUAAGUCAAGCAGGAAGGUACUUUUUUUAGCACAAAGCCACAUAUAUGGAGUCCACUCCGAACCUAUUUCUCAAAUUUAAUAUUACAAUCCACAAAUCAAUGCGGGCUGCUAUUUCCUAUGAAAAUUUGAACAUGUAGUCAAUGCUUAUUUGAUCGAAUAGGCCAAAUGAGUUUCACCUGGGAAGGAUACUGAAUAGUGUGACCAAUGACUGCUCUGUUCAUACAAGCAGAAAAAGUCCCUGCUAGUGAACAAAUCGAUCAUGCAUGGUGCCUUCAAGACUUUGAUCGCAUCACAUGAAGUACGAACAACAUAAUAAAUAAAUUCAAGCAUUUCAUAUUC
This is an RNA transcript of Eucalyptus grandis, 4992 nucleotides long. RefSeq lists it as uncharacterized. The transcript is spliced from 10 exons. NCBI's taxonomy places the organism in Eukaryota, Viridiplantae, Streptophyta, Magnoliopsida, Myrtales, Myrtaceae. The record is from RefSeq and is a predicted model, not a curated record.